This 749-nucleotide ribosomal RNA is filed under the name uncultured Burkholderiales bacterium. RNAcentral describes it as "bacterial SSU rRNA". It matches the Rfam family "Bacterial small subunit ribosomal RNA", at positions 28 to 774 of the family's 1533-position model. The record is from RNAcentral. Lineage: Bacteria; Pseudomonadati; Pseudomonadota; Betaproteobacteria; Burkholderiales.
AUUGAACGCUGGCGGCAUGCCUUACACAUGCAAGUCGAACGGUAACGCGGGGCAACCUGGCGACGAGUGGCGAACGGGUGAGUAAUGCAUCGGAACGUGCCCAGUAGUGGGGGAUAGCCCGGCGAAAGCCGGAUUAAUACCGCAUACGACCUACGGGUGAAAGCGGGGGAUCGCAAGACCUCGCGCUAUUGGAGCGGCCGAUGUCAGAUUAGGUAGUUGGUGGGGUAAAGGCCUACCAAGCCUACGAUCUGUAGCUGGUCUGAGAGGACGACCAGCCACACUGGGACUGAGACACGGCCCAGACUCCUACGGGAGGCAGCAGUGGGGAAUUUUGGACAAUGGGGGCAACCCUGAUCCAGCCAUGCCGCGUGCGGGAAGAAGGCCUUCGGGUUGUAAACCGCUUUUGUCAGGGAAGAAAUCCUCUGGGUUAAUACCUCGGGGGGAUGACGGUACCUGAAGAAUAAGCACCGGCUAACUACGUGCCAGCAGCCGCGGUAAUACGUAGGGUGCAAGCGUUAAUCGGAAUUACUGGGCGUAAAGCGUGCGCAGGCGGUCUUGUAAGACAGAGGUGAAAUCCCCGGGCUCAACCUGGGAACUGCCUUUGUGACUGCAAGGCUUGAGUGCGGCAGAGGGGGAUGGAAUUCCGCGUGUAGCAGUGAAAUGCGUAGAUAUGCGGAGGAACACCGAUGGCGAAGGCAAUCCCCUGGGCCUGCACUGACGCUCAUGCACGAAAGCGUGGGGAGCAAACA